UUUGUUUUUCUCACUUUUGUGCACAUUUGACCAUGUUAAGUUGGGGAAAGGAGGGGAGAUUAUGAGACAUCGAUUUUAUUGUGAGCAACACACAUACUUGUAGCAAGAGAGGAGCAGCAGGAGGAGGAAAUUAAAUGUUAAACGUGGAGGAUGAGGCCUCAGUUUCGGAGGUACCUCAGUUGUAUGCGGAGACAGUGUCACAAGCGCCACUCAACUGGGUCCCUUGGGCUCGGGAAGCAAAUCAAUGAAAUGCUGUCUGACGACGUCGGAGAUGGAAGAUAUUUGCAUAGAAGUGCAUCUUUGGUCGAUGCAACUUUUUCUUGAAUGGUUCUUCUAGAAUGUGCUGUAGGGCAGAGACCCAGAAUAGACAAGUCAUCGGGCUGGCAACGAGCAAACUUCCUGUUGCAAUUCUCAGAGCUUUCAGCAUUUUGGGAUUUUGGCAUUUCACCAUAGUAUCGAUCUGAGAGCUUCAUGUGUGACUGAUGUGGGGACUUCUCUUCGAUUUUACUUUACUCAUACGCUACAUCAUCACAGUACCGACGUUAGAACCAGGCAUUGCAGUUUGAAAGUUCCAAAAUCUACAGUUGCGAGUGCAUGUGAAAAGGCUAGAGAAUUCGAGAAAUGAACAUUGAACAACUUGCACACUA
Molecule: non-coding RNA, 647 nt
Organism: Physcomitrium patens
Lineage: Eukaryota; Viridiplantae; Streptophyta; Bryopsida; Funariales; Funariaceae
Source: RefSeq, a predicted model, not a curated record